This 74-nucleotide transfer RNA is filed under the name Bacteroidota bacterium. Its description in RNAcentral is "Bacteroidetes bacterium (sediment metagenome) tRNA-Ile". It matches the Rfam family "tRNA". Rfam says of the family: Transfer RNA (tRNA) molecules are approximately 80 nucleotides in length. Their secondary structure includes four short double-helical elements and three loops (D, anti-codon, and T loops). Further hydrogen bonds mediate the characteristic L-shaped molecular structure. tRNAs have two regions of fundamental functional importance: the anti-codon, which is responsible for specific mRNA codon recognition, and the 3' end, to which the tRNAs corresponding amino acid is attached (by aminoacyl-tRNA synthetases). tRNAs cope with the degeneracy of the genetic code in two manners: having more than one tRNA (with a specific anti-codon) for a particular amino acid; and 'wobble' base-pairing, i.e. permitting non-standard base-pairing at the 3rd anti-codon position. The record is from RNAcentral. Lineage: Bacteria; Pseudomonadati; Bacteroidota.
GGGCCCUUAGCUCAGUUGGUUAGAGCGGUGGACUCAUAAUCCGCUGGUCGCUGGUUCGAGUCCAGCAGGGCCCA